CGUUAUAUGCCUUUAUUGUCACAGAUAUUAUUUUCUGUUGGGCCAUUGUUACUGACUUUCCAACAAAUAAAAAGACAAGCCCGAACUUUCAUUCGGGCUUUUUUUGUUG
This 109-nucleotide small RNA is filed under the name Escherichia albertii. RNAcentral describes it as "MicC RNA". It matches the Rfam family "MicC RNA". Rfam says of the family: MicC (previously known as IS063) is located between the ompN and ydbK genes in E. coli. Lineage: Bacteria; Pseudomonadati; Pseudomonadota; Gammaproteobacteria; Enterobacterales; Enterobacteriaceae. The record is from RNAcentral.